Molecule: ribosomal RNA, 460 nt
Filed under: uncultured bacterium
Lineage: Bacteria
Description: partial 16S ribosomal RNA
Rfam family: Bacterial small subunit ribosomal RNA
Source: RNAcentral
CCUACGGGUGGCAGCAGUGAGGAAUAUUGGUCAAUGGGCGGGAGCCUGAACCAGCCAAGUCGCGUGAAGGAAGAAGGUACUUAGUAUUGUAAACUUCUUUUGUCGGGGAAUAAAGGGUGAGACGCGUCUGCGGAUGAGUGUACCCGAAGAAAAAGCAUCGGCUAACUCCGUGCCAGCAGCCGCGGUAAUACGGAGGAUGCGAGCGUUAUCCGGAUUUAUUGGGUUUAAAGGGAGCGUAGAUGGAUUGUUAAGUCAGUUGUGAAAGUUUGCGGCUCAACCGUAAAAUUGCAAUUGAUACUGGCAGUCUUGAGUACAGUUGAGGUAGGCGGAAUUCGUGGUGUAGCGGUGAAAUGCUUAGAUAUCACGAAGAACUCCGAUUGCGAAGGCAGCUUACUAAACUGCCACUGACAUUGAUGCUCGAAAGUGUGGGUAUCAAACAGGAUUAGAUACCCCGGUAGUC